Molecule: transfer RNA, 74 nt
Filed under: Lacticaseibacillus paracasei subsp. tolerans
Lineage: Bacteria; Bacillati; Bacillota; Bacilli; Lactobacillales; Lactobacillaceae
Description: tRNA-Ile
Rfam family: tRNA
About the family: Transfer RNA (tRNA) molecules are approximately 80 nucleotides in length. Their secondary structure includes four short double-helical elements and three loops (D, anti-codon, and T loops).
Source: RNAcentral
GGGCCUAUAGCUCAGCUGGUUAGAGCGCACGCUUGAUAAGCGUGAGGUCGAUGGUUCAAGUCCAUCUAGGCCCA